GCCAGUGUGGCUCAGUGGACAGAGCGUCGGCCUGCGGACUGAAAGGUCCCGGGUUCAAUUCCGGUCAAGGGCA
Molecule: transfer RNA, 73 nt
Filed under: Myotis brandtii (Brandt's bat)
Lineage: Eukaryota; Metazoa; Chordata; Mammalia; Chiroptera; Vespertilionidae
Rfam family: tRNA
About the family: Transfer RNA (tRNA) molecules are approximately 80 nucleotides in length. Their secondary structure includes four short double-helical elements and three loops (D, anti-codon, and T loops).
Source: Rfam by way of RNAcentral